RNAcentral lists this ribosomal RNA (252 nucleotides) under uncultured bacterium. Its description in RNAcentral is "partial 16S ribosomal RNA". It matches the Rfam family "Bacterial small subunit ribosomal RNA", at positions 524 to 776 of the family's 1533-position model. The record is from RNAcentral.
UACGUAGGGGCAGCAGUCGUUCGUCGAUUGUGGCGUAAAGGGCGCGUAGGCGGUUUCUUAAGUUUGGAGUGACAGUGGGUGGCUUAACUACCCAAGGCCUCUGAAAACUGGGGAACUUGAGGACCAGAGAGGGACAUAGAAUUCCGGGGUGGAGUGGUGAAAUGCGUAGAUAUCCGGAGGAAUACCAAAGGCGAAGGCAGUGUCCUGGAGGGUGACUGACGCUGAGGCGCGAAAGCUAGGGGAGCGAACAGG